UAAACAUGCAGUGGUUGGGCCAACCACGGAAAAUCGUCAAAGGAAAAUCGUUGUUGGGCCAUGGUUGGCCCAACACUAGUUAACAUGUACUAUAAAUGCAGUUGUUGGCCCAACUUCGAACCAACCAUAAGUUAACGCCAGCGACAUUUCUGCAUUGGCCCAAUAACGAUAAAUAUGUACUUUAAAACAGAUGUUGGGCCAACGUUUGACCAACGAUACAUUUCCGUCAAAUAUAUUACUGCACCUGACCCAAAUUUUUUUUUUUAAACACAUAUAGAUACAUGUAGAUAUUUUACUGUAUAUAAACAGUACACUACAAUGAGUAAAGACUAAAAUUUAUAAAGUUUUUUUUUGAAGCCAUGUUUCAAUAUUGUCACAUUCAAGAAAUACUCAUAUAAAUUAAAUCAGAAAUGUACGUAAGAAAUAAUUACUUUGUGAGUCUAGAAAUGACCAAAGCCCAGGCUAUAUGCAGUAGUAGGGGAUGUAUCUAUAUAGAUCUAUAAAAAUCUUGAAGAUCUGAUGUAUAAUCUAAGGCAAUUAUACAUGUGCUGAAACAGAUUAACCAUCCUAAAUGUUUACAAUAAACCUCCGGAAUCUUCCACUCUAAACUCUUAUUAACCUCUGUUUAUGUAAUCAAUGAAUGGAAAUAGGAUCAUUUUGGCACUACCCAUCCGUUCCCUCUGCGUGGACGUGUUUACAGAUAUAUUUAAAUAAAUUUGAAUUAGACUGCAAUUUCUCAACACUGAAAAAUACAGCAAAUUUAUGUCUAAUUGGAGGAGAUAGUGUGGAGAGCAAUGUUCGCCGUGUUAUGUCUCACACUUUGUCUCAGGAAGUUGCCCUAGAAUACAACUGGGUUGGAAAAGGCUCGAAAAACCAUUCGAAAAACUUAGACUUAAAACAGUCAUAUUAGAUGCUGUAAGAGGAAGUAGACAGGGGUCUACUCAUAAAGAAAUCGAGAAGACAAUGAAGGAGUGGCUAAGAUAUGCCAAGGAUAGGGGAGGCGGGCAGAGGAAGAGACUGACUAAAAAGUUGCAACAACAAAGAGAAGAAAAUGAAAAUGAUAUGUGAACAACAUUUAGAAAUAAAUUGUAGUAAUUAGAAUAUUUUAUG
This is a long non-coding RNA of Ruditapes philippinarum (Manila clam), 1110 nucleotides long. RefSeq lists it as uncharacterized. Lineage: Eukaryota; Metazoa; Mollusca; Bivalvia; Venerida; Veneridae. The record is from RefSeq and is a predicted model, not a curated record. The transcript has 3 exons.